CCCGGUCCGCACGGGAGUCUGUGGGAACAGACUGAGAGGGGGUCUACCGACCCCGACCGUCGAACCUGAUCCGGGUCAUGCCGGCGCAGGGAGCGUGGUGUCAGUGGUA
This 109-nucleotide non-coding RNA is filed under the name Actinoalloteichus hymeniacidonis. RNAcentral describes it as "TPP sequence". It matches the Rfam family "TPP riboswitch aptamer (THI element)". Rfam says of the family: Vitamin B(1) in its active form thiamin pyrophosphate (TPP) is an essential coenzyme that is synthesised by coupling of pyrimidine and thiazole moieties in bacteria. The previously detected thiamin-regulatory element, thi box was extended, resulting in a new, highly conserved RNA secondary structure, the THI element, which is widely distributed in eubacteria and also occurs in some archaea. Lineage: Bacteria; Bacillati; Actinomycetota; Actinomycetes; Pseudonocardiales; Pseudonocardiaceae. The record is from RNAcentral.